Molecule: ribosomal RNA, 210 nt
Filed under: Triticum aestivum (bread wheat)
Lineage: Eukaryota; Viridiplantae; Streptophyta; Magnoliopsida; Poales; Poaceae
Description: partial small subunit ribosomal RNA
Source: RNAcentral
AUGGGAAAGGAAAGAGCGAAAUCUUGGAGAUCAAUUUUGGCCCUGGUUUGGUGGAACCUCUGGAAAGAAAGAAAUGAUAGAACAUUCAGAAAUAUUUCUUCUCACCCCACACAACUGUUUCUGAAGAUUCAGGUCGAAGCAAAGGACUGGGUUGACGCUGGGCGUAAGCGUGCAAUGGCUCUUGUAGAGCGCCCCCUAAAACCAGACUGA